CCCUGCCGGGAACCCGACUUAGCCCGGAGACGCUCAAGAGCAAGAAGCCGAGCGGAAAAGUUAGCGCAGGUUGUGGAAAUCAUAUGAGUUCCCUGCUAGUGACAUUGGAGUGCACAGAUGAAUAUCGACAAGGCUCCAGGGAGUUCUGAACAGAGGCCAAGGCAGGCCCUGGAGCUGUAUGCUGCUUACAGGAAAAGAGAAAGAGGGGACCCCAAUAGUCU
RNAcentral lists this long non-coding RNA (221 nucleotides) under Homo sapiens (human). RNAcentral's name for it is "long non-coding RNA NONHSAT150308.1". Lineage: Eukaryota; Metazoa; Chordata; Mammalia; Primates; Hominidae. The record is from RNAcentral.